CCGGCACGGGUGAGUAAUACGUAUCCAACCUGCCGUCUACUCUUGGCCAGCCUUCUGAAAGGAAGAUUAAUCCAGGAUGGCAUCAUGAGUUCACAUGUCCGCAUGAUUAAAGGUAUUUUCCGGUAGACGAUGGGGAUGCGUUCCAUUAGAUAGUAGGCGGGGUAACGGCCCACCUAGUCAACGAUGGAUAGGGGUUCUGAGAGGAAGGUCCCCCACAUUGGAACUGAGACACGGUCCAA
Molecule: ribosomal RNA, 239 nt
Filed under: uncultured bacterium
Lineage: Bacteria
Description: partial 16S ribosomal RNA
Rfam family: Bacterial small subunit ribosomal RNA
Source: RNAcentral